ACUCAAAUGAAUUGACGGGGGCCCGCACAAGCGGUGGAGCAUGUGGCUUAAUUCGAGGCAACGCGAAGAACCUUACCUGGGUUUGACAUGUAUUGGACCGGGUGUGAAAGCAUCCUUCUCUUCGGAGCCGGUACACAGGUGCUGCAUGGCUGUCGUCAGCUCGUGUCGUGAGAUGUUCGGUUAAGUCCGGUAACGAGCGCAACCCCUGUCCUUAGUUGCCAUCAGGUAAUGCUGGGAACUUUAAGGAGACCGACCCUUUAUAAGGGUAGGAAGCUGGGGACGAUGUCAAGUCAGUAUGGCCCUUACGCCCAGGGCUGCACACGUGCUACAAUGCCUAGUACAAAGGGACGCAAGACCGCGAGGUGGAGCAAAUCCUUAAAACUAGGCCUAGUUCAGAUUGGAGUCUGCAACUCGACUCCAUGAAGCCGGAAUCGCUAGUAAUGGUGCAUCAGCUACGGCACCGUGAAUACGUUCCCGGGCCUUGUACACACCGCCCGU
Molecule: ribosomal RNA, 498 nt
Filed under: uncultured bacterium
Lineage: Bacteria
Description: partial 16S ribosomal RNA
Rfam family: Bacterial small subunit ribosomal RNA
Source: RNAcentral